AGUGAACGCUGGCGGUAGGCCUAACACAUGCAAGUCGAACGGCAGCACAGUAAGAGCUUGCUCUUACGGGUGGCGAGUGGCGGACGGGUGAGGAAUACAUCGGAAUCUACUUUUUCGUGGGGGAUAACGUAGGGAAACUUACGCUAAUACCGCAUACGACCUACGGGUGAAAGCAGGGGAUCUUCGGACCUUGCGCGAUUGAAUGAGCCGAUGUCGGAUUAGCUAGUUGGCGGGGUAAAGGCCCACCAAGGCGACGAUCCGUAGCUGGUCUGAGAGGAUGGUCGGCCACACUGGAACUGGGACGCGGUCCAGACUCCUACGGGAGGCAGCAGUGGGGAAUAUUGGACAAUGGGCGCAAGCCUGAUCCAGCCAUACCGCGUGGGUGAAGAAGGCCUUCGGGUUGUAAAGCCCUUUUGUUGGGAAAGAAAAGCAGCAGGUUAAUACCCCGCUGUUCUGACGGUACCCAAAGAAUAAGCACCGGCUAACUUCGUG
RNAcentral lists this ribosomal RNA (492 nucleotides) under uncultured bacterium. Its description in RNAcentral is "partial 16S ribosomal RNA". It matches the Rfam family "Bacterial small subunit ribosomal RNA", at positions 29 to 507 of the family's 1533-position model. The record is from RNAcentral.